This is a small nucleolar RNA of Neomonachus schauinslandi (Hawaiian monk seal), 104 nucleotides long. RefSeq annotates it as small nucleolar RNA U13. The transcript has a single exon. Lineage: Eukaryota; Metazoa; Chordata; Mammalia; Carnivora; Phocidae. The record is from RefSeq and is a predicted model, not a curated record.
AUCCUUUUGUAGUUCAUAAGUAUAAUGAUUGGGUGUUCAUGCCGUUGUGUGACAUGCGUCUCCUUCAACACUUGUUAUGACCUCAUCCCAUUACUCAUCUGAUG